AGAAUCAACGCUGGCGGCGUGCCUAACACAUGCAAGUCGAACGAGAAAGUGGAGCAAUCCAUGAGUAAAGUGGCGCACGGGUGAGUAACACGUGACUAACCUACCCUUGAGUGGGGGAUAACCUAGGGAAACCUGGGCUAAUACCGCAUAAUACCUUCGGGUCAAAGGAGCAAUUCGCUUAAGGAGGGGGUCGCGGCCGAUUAGUUAGUUGGCGGGGUAAUGGCCUACCAAGGCGACGACGGGUAGCC
RNAcentral lists this ribosomal RNA (248 nucleotides) under uncultured bacterium. RNAcentral describes it as "partial small subunit ribosomal RNA". It matches the Rfam family "Bacterial small subunit ribosomal RNA", at positions 26 to 288 of the family's 1533-position model. The record is from RNAcentral.